This is a long non-coding RNA of Varanus komodoensis (Komodo dragon), 2956 nucleotides long. RefSeq lists it as uncharacterized. The record is from RefSeq and is a predicted model, not a curated record. NCBI's taxonomy places the organism in Eukaryota, Metazoa, Chordata, Lepidosauria, Squamata, Varanidae. The transcript is spliced from 3 exons.
UAAGAAGAAAGCGGCGGCGGCGGCUUGAGGGGGGCGGAAGCGAAGCCCCAACUUAUGUCAUUCCAGGAUUCCACUGCCAAAGUCAAGAGAGACAAUAUAUUUAUUUCUCCAUGCUAGAGCUUCUGCUGUUGUUCCCCAAAGGAGGAUUUGGCCGCUGGUCUAACAAUAACCUCUUAAAAAGAAAAACUUGUUGUCGGGGAAGCUGCAAUUUUGGGAGAACAGUUUGCAGUGAAAUAUAAUGAGGAUUGGCUGAUCCCAGGAAGCAGGACUGAUUCUGAAUGGGUAUGACAUCACCAAGGAACUCAGCUAACUCCAAGGGAAAGUUCUGAACUGGAAACAAAACACUGGAGAAAAUGACAGAAGACAUAAUGUUAUGGUUUGGGGUUCUUCCUGAAGCUGCUUUUUGAGAAAAUCCUAUGUCCAAUAAACUAAAAAUAGUUUAGCAUAGCUUUUGUUAAUGUACCAUAAAACGUUUUUAAAGGUAUAGGUAGCCUUAUGUUUUAGGUCUGCCUAGUAUUUUAAAAAUCACCUAUGUUGGCUAACUAAUAAUGAGUAAAUAGAAAGGAAACUAGUUGUAAAUUAUUUUGAAUUCCAUUAAGAAACAGUUUAUACUGUAGCACAAGAACUGCAAACAGUGCACAUUUCUUAUUACAGGCCAUAAAAACAUGCAGUUAUUUGAUGCUUGCAUGUCCAUAGAAAAAUAUGAUGUGUUCAGACCCACACCGACACAUACACAGACACUAUUUAUUGUGAUUCAGAAUUAGAAUUUACUUGCUUUAUUUUUAAGAAAACAUAUUAUUUGUGGUACAAUAUAAGAUUUCACCAAUAUUAAAUACCCUUCCUCUAUGGACACAUAUUUAUUUGACUUUUGCUCAGACAUGGACACAUAUUCACUGAAGCAAAAUAUACUAUGGCCAUGACAUAUGAGAUAAAAGUCUUUCAUUUCCAACUACGAAAAUCAGGUAUGCACAAACUUUUUUGCUCCAAGAUCCACAUAGAAUGAUGGGAGCUACAUACAUGUACACAAGUUCACACUCACAUAACUGACACGCAGGACUAAUGGGCACGUCACUCACAUACCAUCCACGCUCAGUGCAACAUCAACACAUCUUGGUCUUGCAGCAACAGCAUCUAUCUCAGGUCACAUCAUCAAAGUGUUGGAAGUUCCCACCCAAGGUACCCAAAAUGGUCUUUCAUCACCCAAAGGGGGAAAUAUUCUAGCAAUGGCCUACCAUACCAGCAUCAUUCCAAACACAUUUACAGAUCAUCUUAGGAAGCUGGUGGAUAUAUGCAAUCAUUGUUCCUGAGAAAGUCCAGAGACACUCCAGACAAAGCUUAUACGGCAGGAACCAUAGAGCCUGUACCUAGAACCUGUUUCCCAUUCCUCCCCUUUUUGGCAGCCACAAGACAAAGUUUAAAGCAUGAAUCAUUUGCUGACUAUAAGAUGUGGCUAACCUACUUCUUUCCAAAACUGUUGUCAGUGACUAGAAAUAAAUGAUGGGAAAGGUGAGUCUUCUUGGAGAAAGUAAGAAUAUGUGAAUGAAAGAGAUUGCUUUUUCAUCUCAUCAAAGUCAGUAUUUCACUACAGAGCAGCUCCAUAAUUUUCCAUUGACAUUGCUAAUGCAAAAAGUGGUUGCAACGGAAGUAUGAUACGUUAUGGCAUAAUCUUACAAAUGUUCCCUUCCAUCAAAGCACAGUGAGAUCAGUUUAAUUAACAGUGGCCUUCACCUUUUUUCUUUUUAUGCUUAAGUAUUUGCUGUGCCUGUAUAUCAUCUUUACAUUGUAAAGGAAGAAUAUACAAGCUUCAACAGGAAAGGCAAACAGUAGUGGAGAAAGAAUUCUGAUUAAUGGAAGAUAAGAGACUGGAAGAAAUAAAUACAGGAAAAGUCAAAGGAAGCCAGAAAAAAAAAUGAGAGCAUUAGAAAAGAACAAAUCCCUGGUUUGUGGGGUAGAUGGUAGAUAAUUUCCCUAAUAGUUACUGUAAAAACUGAAAUUUUUACAGUUUUUAAUUUAGUUUUUCAAUGCAAAUCAAAUAAUAGUUGUGUCUUUAUGGUGUGGGGGGAGAGGAAACAAAUUUACAAAAGAUUUCUAAGCAUAUUAUUAUGUCCAUUCUGUGCCAGAACAUAGAAAUAGCUGGACCUUCCUUCUCUAUAGAAGCUUGACCUUUCUGAGAGCUGUAUAUGAAAGGUUAGAAAGGAAGAUGAUGCAGACCAGCUUUUCCCAACCGGGUGCCCUCCAGAUGUGCUGGACUACAAGUUGUACCACCCACAGCCGAAGUUGCAAUGCUGCCUAGGAAUAUGAGAAUUGUAGCCUGACACAUUUAGACUGUACUAGGCUGGGAAAGGCUGCUUUAUGACAUCUUCCCUGCUAGCCUUCCAUGCACUGCUUUCAGAAAGGUCACCCUUCCAUAGAGAAAGGAGGGGGCAGUUAUUUCUAUGUUCUGGAGAUAUUCACCUUUGAAAAUGAGAGGGCAGAGAUGACCAGCCAGGGCUAAAAUUCCUUUAAUGUCUAAAGGGAAAGAAUCCAAAAUUAGCCCAAGUAACACAGAAUGAUAGACAAUCUAACAUUGUAAAGGUUACCUAUUUAUUGGUUAGUACUCUCUGAUGUGUAAACUUCAUAAAAUUGAAGCUCAGAGAAAACAUUGUACAGCCUUGUCUAUAUCUCUGGUGUCAUUUGCCAUUGUUGCUACAGAAUUUGCUGAAAUGAUCAUGCAAAAGACGUGGUUCCAAUUCUUAUUUUUGUUACUUAUGUUAAUGUGCACAAGACUGGAUUCUAGGCAAAAAAGAGAAAUAAGAAGCAAUGAACUAACCAUAGAAGGUCUUUGUCAUAACUUUUGGGAGUUUAUCCUCAUGAAGGUUAGUUGUGCUGCAGAAUGUUUCUUGGACAUCAAUCUCUGCUCCUGAUUAUUUAUGAUAAUUUAAUAUGGUGUAUUUUAUUGUAUUUUUAAUGUGCUGUU